UUCCAGUUAAUGUUGUGAAACUGUGGCAAAAGCCAUGGAAUUAACGUAAACCUGAGCUUUAUGUGUAAAUAUAUUAUGUUGAUAGGGCUGAUUCGUCCAUUAUAUUGGAUCUGAUAACAGGGACUAAGACAAGUCAACAUGGCCUUGAUAUUGUGGGCUAAAGACGUGCCACAUAUUCCUAAACAAAGAGAUGCGCAAAUGCGAAUCUUAGCUAAUCUCAACAGAUAGGAUAACAAAGAUAUGGAUUGUAGCCUGAAAUUCGGCUGCAUGAAUAAGAAAUUGCUAGUAAUCGUGAAUCACUAUGUCACGGUGAAUAUAACCUUGGAUUGGUACUAACCACUCGUCACAUGCUGAAACGAGUACGUGCAAUAAGUUUGCUUCCUUAUUUUCAUCCAGCGAAUCAUAAGAUUCGGGUUUGCUUAUAGGAUUCGUCGUAUGCGCGAUUCUAAUUGGUGUUAAGUCGAAAUACGGUUCGUGUAGUGGAAGUUGCACGGGAUUGAUUAACCUUUAACAAGAUAAUAUGCUGUAUA
Molecule: ribosomal RNA, 530 nt
Filed under: Diaporthe sp.
Lineage: Eukaryota; Fungi; Ascomycota; Sordariomycetes; Diaporthales; Diaporthaceae
Description: SSU rRNA
Rfam family: Bacterial small subunit ribosomal RNA
Source: RNAcentral